UUGUUUUUCAUAUUAUAUUUCAAUAAAGCAAAAUCACAACAACCAAAAUAAAUCUCCAGCGAAUCAACUUAGUAGAAACGUUGCAUAUAAGAACACAUUUUAAUUGAUUAUGUCAUGUAAUGAGACAUCUGUGCUAGCCGACACAGUGACCAAGCGAAAAAACCAACUAAUCAAGUAAAAGGUGGAUUAAGCGACUUGCAUGUACCCUCAGCUCCCCACAAACUAGAGGAAUAAUGUGGGACAUAAUUUUAAAGUAUGAAAUAAUUAAAAAUCAUUUUGCUGGCUCGAACUCGGGACAUUUGUGUUGAGAAGCAGAAAUAUAUGCUGUGUGCCACAAAAACUUACACACUCUUUCAGGCAAAAUGUUAUGUUAAAUUAUGCUCACUUCCACUGCUGUUAACAUUGUGUC
Molecule: long non-coding RNA, 409 nt
Organism: Stomoxys calcitrans (stable fly)
Lineage: Eukaryota; Metazoa; Arthropoda; Insecta; Diptera; Muscidae
Exons: 3
Source: RefSeq, a predicted model, not a curated record